GUUUUGUACCUCAUAUGUUCACAGGGUGGUGCCCAGUGCCCAGUGCCCAGCACAGUGUCUGACUCACUAGUAACCAGAUAAAGACUUACAGGAACCCUGCAACCUGAUAACUCAACACUGGUACAUGAAACCAGGAAAACAAUCCAGAAAGGCAGACAAGACUCCCAUUUUGAGAUGUCUUAGGAUCCAGAGUUACACUGUUCAGUACAAUUGUCACUAGCCACAAGAGACCAUUCAAAUUUAAAUUCACUAAAUUAAGAAGAAUGGUAGAAUCUGUUUUUCAACGAUGUCAGUCUUAUUGCCAGUGCUCAGUGGUCACACUGGUUGUAGCUUUCUAGUUCCCAUCAUCAAAGCUAGUUCCAAAGGGAGAGGUUUUUGUUUCUGAUAAUUAUGGUGAGCUUUAUCUAUUCCUAUACCCUUGUGAGAGCACUGGGAUUCACUGUUUCUGUAACAGUGACUUGGAACUCAUAUAGCUUGGUCAAUGACAAGUCUGGUAUUGAAUCCAAUUACUCUGAUGCCACAGAUUGUUGUGGAUUAAUGGGAUGUGGACAUACUACGGAUUUCCUUACAACGUACCAGGGUAGGAAACAAACAACCAAAACAUCAAAGUUCUCUUUUGGCUUCCUGUGUGAAUACAGUCAAUUAUGAAGACAGAAUGGAAGCACCAGUGUGGUAAGUAUCUAUCUUUUUUCUCCUACCUAAAACCCUUUUCCUUUGGGCACGUAUUUCUUGCUGUGUGGGGCUUGGUGAAAUGUGGAGCUUAAUUCCUUUUUGGAAGCUGAAAAAGUAAGAUGACUAUUUUUCCUCCUUUAUCUUGCAGCUGGGAGAUGGGUUUAUGAGUAGCCUUGACUAAUCCAAUAAGUCAUCAAAGGGAAUUUUAGAGACACAGAGGGGUGGGACAGCCAAUCCUGUCCCUUAGGCCACUGAUAUUUCUACUGCAGUGGCAUCUUGCUUUGCCAGGUGGUGGCUACACCCUAUGAGCCUGGCUUCAGGUGUGCAGAAGUGACCCCUUAUAAAGUAGAGGAGAGGCUGGCUUGCUCUCUUGGCUUGUGGUAAGAUCAUCGGAAGGGCAGAGACUGCAUCUUCUGUAGCAGGAAGACCUCAGCGGUUAUUUAUUAUCAUUUGUGUAAGAGCUUCC
Molecule: long non-coding RNA, 1138 nt
Filed under: Cricetulus griseus (Chinese hamster)
Lineage: Eukaryota; Metazoa; Chordata; Mammalia; Rodentia; Cricetidae
Description: lncRNA (ENSCGRG00015042693.1)
Source: RNAcentral